CACUGCGAGAAAGGAACCGGCGGCAGCUUGGUUCCUGCGCGGAUGCUGGGGCUGUAGGCGCCGCGCUUUCGGCUCGUUGCCGCUCACAGGGAAGAGGACGCCGGGGCUCGCUUUCCCUCCGCUGCCUCCGCCACUGCCAUGAUUCCAGUGUCGCUGGUGGUAGUGGUGGUGGGCGGCUGGACUGCCGUCUACCUGACCGACUUGGUACUGAAGUCAUCUGUGUAUUUUAAGCAUUCUUAUGAAGACUGGCUGGAAAACAAUGGAUUGAGCAUCUCCCCUUUUCACAUAAGAUGGCAAACUGCUGUUUUCAAUCGUGCCUUUUACAGUUGGGGACGGCGGAAAGCAAGGAUGCUUUACCAGUGGUUCAAUUUUGGAAUGGUGUUUGGCGUAAUUGCCAUGUUCAGCUCUUUUUUCCUCCUCGGGAAAACGCUAAUGCAGACUUUGGCACAGAUGAUGGCUGACUCUCCCUCUUCUUAUUCUUCCUCCUCUUCCUCCUCUUCCUCUUCCUCCUCUUCCUCUGCUUCUUCCUCUUCAUCGUCUUCCUCUUCCUCCUCCUCUUCCUCCUCCUCCUCACUUCACAAUGAGCAAGUGCUACAAGUUGUGGUUCCUGGUAUAAAUUUACCUGUCAACCAACUGACCUAUUUCUUCGCUGCAGUUCUCAUUAGUGGUGUUGUACAUGAAAUUGGACAUGGGAUAGCAGCUAUUAGGGAACAAGUUCGAUUUAAUGGCUUUGGGAUUUUUCUCUUCGUUAUUUAUCCUGGAGCAUUUGUUGAUCUGUUCACCACUCACUUGCAACUUAUAUCACCAGUCCAGCAGCUAAGGAUAUUCUGUGCAGGUAUCUGGCAUAAUUUUGUCCUUGCGCUCCUUGGUAUUUUAGCUCUUGUGCUCCUCCCUGUAAUUCUCUUGCCAUUUUACUACACUGGAGUCGGGGUGCUUAUCACUGAAGUUGCUGAGGACUCACCAGCCAUUGGACCCAGAGGCCUUUUUGUGGGAGACCUUGUCACCCAUCUACAGGAUUGCCCUGUUACUAAUGUACAAGAUUGGAAUGAAUGUCUAGAUACCAUCGCCUAUGAGCCCCAAAUUGGUUACUGUAUUAGUGCAUCAACUUUACAGCAGUUAAGCUUCCCAGUUAGAGCAUACAAACGGCUAGAUGGUUCGACCGAAUGCUGUAAUAAUCACAGCCUCACGGAUGUGUGCUUUUCCUACAGAAAUAACUUUAAUAAGCGUUUGCACACGUGUUUACCUGCCCGGAAAGCAGUUGAAGCCACACAAGUUUGUAGAACCAAUAAAGAUUGUAAAAAAAGUUCAAGUUUCUGUAUAAUACCUUCUUUGGAAACUCAUACUCGCUUAAUAAAAGUGAAACAUCCACCUCAAAUUGAUAUGUUGUAUGUAGGCCAUCCACUGCACCUUCACUACACAGUGAGCAUCACCAGUUUUAUCCCACGUUUCAACUUUCUAAGCAUAGAUCUGCCUGUGGUUGUGGAGACAUUUGUCAAGUACCUGAUUUCCCUCUCAGGAGCUCUAGCUAUUGUUAAUGCAGUGCCCUGCUUUGCUUUGGAUGGUCAGUGGAUUUUAAACUCUUUCCUAGAUGCUACCCUUACCUCAGUGAUUGGAGACAAUGAUAUCAAAGAUCUGAUAGGAUUUUUCAUCUUGCUCGGUGGUAGUGUACUUUUGGCUGCCAACGUGACCCUGGGACUCUGGAUGGUUACAGCACGGUAAUAUUUGCACUCAUCUUGCAGAAUGAUACUUCAUAUGAAAUAGAAAGCAUUUCCUUAAAAUUACAUUUUAACCAACGACUUUAAGCUCCUCCUGUAUCAGAAUAUCCAAACUCUGGGAUGGGGGAUAAACAGAAGAAAUGAAAGGCAUAGUCUCUGACUACAUCCAACUUUUAAAGACUGAACUUAACAAACUUCAGAUGCUUGUGGAACAAUUUCUAAACAAGUGAAAAUUCAUGUUAAACCAUUUUGUGUGACUACAUAUCAUAUUGCAGUAGUGUAAAGGAGAACAGAAUUGGGUGGAAUUAAUCGGGGAAAACUUUUUGAAAAAGCAUCAUUAAUCCAGAUUUGAAGAAGACCAGACUCUGGCCAAGUGGAAGGGUGAGCAUUUUCUUGGCCUAUAUCUCUUGUCCUUUUUCUUAGUUUGAAAAGUAUUUUAAGAUUUAUUGGUAUAUUAUUUUGUACUCUGACAACUGAGGUCUGAUUACAAUUAAUAAAAUUCUAUGAAAGAAUCUGCUGACAUGAAAGGGAAAAUCUUUGUCAAAUGAUACCAAAUAGGUGAACAAAGUAGGAAGUAGGGCUUACAAUGAUAAAUGCUUUGCCCCACAAAAGUUGCCUCUUUGAUAAUGUGUCCCCAUAUGCUCCUAAAGCAGCACUGUGUUCUGACAUUCAGACUGAGCUACAAGAAGUAUCUUCCACUUGCAGCAUGUGAGUUGAGGAAGUUAAAGUUGAGCGUGAGAACUGAGCUUGGUCUUUUAACAGAUCACGAGACAGAUCUGCUGCAGUCCUGGUUACCAUUCUCUACAGAGCUUUGAAGCUCGGAACCUUUCCAGGGUAGACGUUUUCUCUUAUGCUGCUGGGGUUAUCUGGGGCCUAGGUCCUGGGUUCCUGUCUUCAAGGAGCAACUACCUUAAGCUCUCAACCAUACUCUGUUCUCACCAGCAGCUUCCAUGUUUCUCUGUAUUGAGUAAUUAAACACCUAGUCCUUGUUUUCCAUCUUUCUCCUAAGCUACCUCUGUGGGUCCACAGAAGACUUGGUAGUACAGUGAGAAUGGCUACACAUGAGUACAGAUAUGGAUUUGCCAGAGCCUGGGAACUGACUCUUGAGCCCAAAAGAGCCCUGAGUAGUUCAAGGUCUUUUGGACUGGAGCUGGAGCCCUGGAAGAUCCAGGAAGUCACCUCAGGCCACUGUGAACUCUUGGUCUUCUAAGUGUCUGAGCGUGCUGUUCUUUAAUGAAAAAUAUGUGCUUCCCUCAUACACUCAAGAACAUUAACAACUGUGUACCCAACUUUUUCACUAAGUGAGGCAUUCCAUGGGGUUCACCUUUUUCUGAUCAUUGAGCCGCACUUCAGGCAAUAAAGGUUUUUAAUCAUUUUUAAGAAACUCUUUAGACUGUAUGCAAGUUUGCCUGUCUUCUUAAAUAGAAAUUAUUUAUUGAGUAUAAUGUUAAGAUUUUAUUAAUGACUUGAGGUCAUCAGUUAAACCAUACAAGUUAUUCGUUUAUCCCAGAAAAAAGGUGGUGGUUCUAUUCUUAGGUAGAUAGUGAUUCAGGAUCAAAGUCUUAGCAGAGAGCUCAGACCUGUUUAGGUAGUAGAGCUUGGGGAAUGCCAUGAAAUACUUGCAUAAUUAAUUUGAUUACAUGAACUAUGCAAUUUACUAAUGAAUAUGUCGUAUAUGUGCAGAUCAGUUUUUUAAAACAGAAAAAAACUUAAAUAGAGGAGCUCCUACCCAUUAACUUCUUUUUCUGGGUGGAAAAAAAACAACAACUGCAACAACAACAACAACCAAACACCUCAUUUUCUUGUAGCAUUUGAACAUCUUGGUCUCUUGCUUCAUAGGGUCAGGCUUUGAGAACCACUCUUACUAGGAUAAUGAGCAGAUCAGUCACAUUUGUAUAGAAAUGGCCUCAUCGUGUAAAAAAGGAAAUGUUGUCUGUUGUCUCUUCAGCUUGAUUGUGGGCACUUCUGGAGCAAGGACCAUGCCAUACUCAUCUUUGCAUCCCUGGCACAGUGCAUGAGACAUCAUAAAUACUUAAUAAACAUGGUUGAAUGGAUGAUGAAUACUGGUAUUUAUGGAUUAGAAAAGCAUGUUUCUAUUUAAGUGCCUGCUGUCCUUUAUCAAGAAGCUCUCCUUUAUUUGGAUUAUGGAAACACAUACAUUUUCAAGCUUUAAUUCCUCUCUCUGUGGAUUGUUUAAUAUUAGUCUUUAAAGGUUUAAAAAAAGAUCUGUCUUUGAAAUAGAUGUCCUGAUUUUAAACAGAUUGCUGGACCACAUGCCACCAGUCCCACUCCUGAAGCAGAACAUUCAAGGAGGAUGUCCAAAAAGCAGAGGCCACCUACUCCCCAGGAAGAAAGGCUAUGCUUCAACCAGCCUAACUCUACUUCAAGAAAAGGCACCCAGAAGAGAUGCAACCUGAGGGAUUCAUCCAAAUGUUUCUGCCAGGAUCUCUAGCACACUUUGGACACUGGAGGCAUAAAGUGAUUGGACGCAACCUGAAAAAAAGAGAGAACGAGUGCACAAGCAGGGGGAGCAGCAGAGGAAGAGGGAGCACCACUGAGCAGCGAAGGCAGAUGCUUAACCGACUGAGUCACCCAGGUGCCCCUAGGCAGAUAACUUUAAAGGCAAAAGACCCUGAGGGCAAAGCAGCAAGACCCUGCCUGUGCUUGACUUCAGGACAAUGAUCGACUUGACCUUCACGGCCCACCUGCAGAUAGAGAUUCCAGGAGGCUGACAUGGUAAGAAAUCUUACCUGCUACUGGCUGAAUGUCAGAAGUCCCAAGGAUCUCUCAGCUGCAGCAGUGUCAGGCUCCCAUAGCCUAUGAAAUGACAGGAAGGAAGAAGUGGGAAAGAAAGCUCUCCUUGAAUAUCCUGCUUUCAUCCGGAUGGAAAAUCUUUCUAGACGCAUCUAAAGAAGAGUGCUGCUGAAGGGUUCGCUGACCAAACCUGGGCCACAUGGCCAGCGCUACCAGCAAGGAGGGUGAGAGAGAGAGUAUCUGGUAUUUUUAGCCU
Mirounga angustirostris (Northern elephant seal) is the source of this 4725-nucleotide RNA transcript. It is a transcript of the gene named membrane bound transcription factor peptidase, site 2, with no coding region annotated. The transcript has 18 exons. The record is from RefSeq and is a predicted model, not a curated record. NCBI's taxonomy places the organism in Eukaryota, Metazoa, Chordata, Mammalia, Carnivora, Phocidae.